UAAGCGACUAAGCGUACACGGUGGAUGCCUAGGCAGUCAGAGGCGAUGAAGGGCGUGCUAAUCUGCGAAAAGCGUCGGUAAGGUGAUAUGAACCGUUACAACCGACGAUACCCGAAUGGGGAAACCCAGUGCAAUUCGUUGCACUAUUGCAUGGUGAAUACAUAGCCAUGCAAGGCGAACCGGGGGAACUGAAACAUCUAAGUACCCCGAGGAAAAGAAAUCAACCGAGAUUCCCCCAGUAGCGGCGAGCGAACGGGGAGGAGCCCAGAACCUGAAUCAGCGUAUGUGUUAGUGGAAGCGUCUGGAAAGUCGCACGGUACAGGGUGAUAGUCCCGUACACAAAAAUGCAUAUGUUGUGAGUUCGAUGAGUAGGGCGGGACACGUGACAUCCUGUCUGAAUAUGGGGGGACCAUCCUCCAAGGCUAAAUACUCCUGACUGACCGAUAGUGAACCAGUACCGUGAGGGAAAGGCGAAAAGAACCCCGGCGAGGGGAGUGAAAUAGAACCUGAAACCGUGUACGUACAAGCAGUGGGAGCACCUUCGUGGUGUGACUGCGUACCUUUUGUAUAAUGGGUCAGCGACUUAUAUUUUGUAGCAAGGUUAACCGAAUAGGGGAGCCGUAGGGAAACCGAGUCUUAACUGGGCGAAUAGUUGCAAGGUAUAGACCCGAAACCCGGUGAUCUAGCCAUGGGCAGGUUGAAGGUUGGGUAACACUAACUGGAGGACCGAACCGACUAAUGUUGAAAAAUUAGCGGAUGACUUGUGGCUGGGGGUGAAAGGCCAAUCAAACCGGGAGAUAGCUGGUUCUCCCCGAAAGCUAUUUAGGUAGCGCCUCGUGAACUCAUCUUCGGGGGUAGAGCACUGUUUCGGCUAGGGGGUCAUCCCGACUUACCAAACCGAUGCAAACUCCGAAUACCGAAGAAUGUUAUCACGGGAGACACACGGCGGGUGCUAACGUCCGUCGUGAAGAGGGAAACAACCCAGACCGCCAGCUAAGGUCCCAAAGUCAUGGUUAAGUGGGAAACGAUGUGGGAAGGCAUAGACAGCCAGGAUGUUGGCUUAGAAGCAGCCAUCAUUUAAAGAAAGCGUAAUAGCUCACUGGUCGAGUCGGCCUGCGCGGAAGAUGUAACGGGGCUAAACCAUG
This 1145-nucleotide ribosomal RNA is filed under the name Yersinia enterocolitica. RNAcentral describes it as "partial 23S ribosomal RNA". It matches the Rfam family "Bacterial large subunit ribosomal RNA", at positions 1 to 1191 of the family's 2925-position model. The record is from RNAcentral. Lineage: Bacteria; Pseudomonadati; Pseudomonadota; Gammaproteobacteria; Enterobacterales; Yersiniaceae.